AAUACUGUGGUGCAAUGGAUAGUGCAUUGGACUUCUAAUUCAAAGGUUGUGGGUUAGAGUCCCGCCAGAGUCA
This 73-nucleotide transfer RNA is filed under the name Ornithorhynchus anatinus (platypus). It matches the Rfam family "tRNA". Rfam says of the family: Transfer RNA (tRNA) molecules are approximately 80 nucleotides in length. Their secondary structure includes four short double-helical elements and three loops (D, anti-codon, and T loops). Further hydrogen bonds mediate the characteristic L-shaped molecular structure. tRNAs have two regions of fundamental functional importance: the anti-codon, which is responsible for specific mRNA codon recognition, and the 3' end, to which the tRNAs corresponding amino acid is attached (by aminoacyl-tRNA synthetases). tRNAs cope with the degeneracy of the genetic code in two manners: having more than one tRNA (with a specific anti-codon) for a particular amino acid; and 'wobble' base-pairing, i.e. permitting non-standard base-pairing at the 3rd anti-codon position. The record is from Rfam by way of RNAcentral. Lineage: Eukaryota; Metazoa; Chordata; Mammalia; Monotremata; Ornithorhynchidae.